UGCCCAAAAACUCCUAUCCCUAUCUCCUCGCGGUACUGGCAGGGGUACGAGUAACCUUAGGGAAGAUCGGGUAACCAGUGGGAGCUUUGGUCGCAUGCUGACAGGGAGGG
RNAcentral lists this ribozyme (110 nucleotides) under Aedes aegypti (yellow fever mosquito). RNAcentral describes it as "drz-agam-1 ribozyme". It matches the Rfam family "drz-agam-1 ribozyme". Lineage: Eukaryota; Metazoa; Arthropoda; Insecta; Diptera; Culicidae. The record is from Rfam by way of RNAcentral.